UGCCAGCCGCCGCGGUAAUACGGAGGGGGUUAGCGUUGUUCGGAAUUACUGGGCGUAAAGCGCGUGUAGGCGGUUCGUUAAGUCUGAUGUGAAAGCCCGGGGCUCAACCCCGGAAGUGCAUUGGAAACUGGCGAACUUGAGUACGGGAGAGGAAAGUGGAAUUCCGAGUGUAGGGGUGAAAUGCGUAAAUAUCAGGAGGAACACCGGUGGCGAAGGCGACCAUCUGGGACGGAACUGACGCUGAUGAACGAAAGCUAGGGUAUCAAACAGGAUUAGAUA
This 279-nucleotide ribosomal RNA is filed under the name uncultured bacterium. RNAcentral describes it as "partial 16S ribosomal RNA". It matches the Rfam family "Bacterial small subunit ribosomal RNA", at positions 506 to 784 of the family's 1533-position model. The record is from RNAcentral.